GCAGGCGGCGCUGUCUUGGGGGAAGCCGCGGACACCGCCCCGACAGCCACAAAGGCCAUUUCCGCAGUAGUUUCGCGAGCUUGUUCUAGCCACGCCUUGCUGGUCUGUUUAGAAACUAUCUUUCUUCAUCCAACUUGCUAACUUUGCAGAACGGUGCCCUUGUGACAAUUAGUGAUAUUUGAAAAGUUAGCAAAGAGCUUUUGGAAGAGUGCAACAUAAAAACAACAACAACAAAACAUGUACUUAAGAUUGCGUAAUCAGUGAUUAAAAAAGACUUAAAAUACUCUUCGGGGAACAAUUCGCGAAAAUUCAGCUGCAGCGUCAUCUGCUGGACAUGCCGCGACACUGCAGGUCCCUGCGGCGAAGAAGAUGGGGUUGCAGUUGAAAACCAGGCUUUUUGCCCAGGAAAGGCUCUGGCAGCAAGGCACAGAGGCUUGCCAUGAAUUUGUCAAGUGGAUGAAAUAAGAUUGAACCCAGGGCUUUGCACAUGCUAGGUAAGUACUAUACCACUGAACUAUAUCUCCACCCCUCAUACCCAUUGAAACUUGUCAGUUUGGGAAAUAUGGCUGUUAUCUCUCUCCUGUGUCUUAAAAGACCAGAUAACCUUAGUUUUGAUUUGUUAAGGUUUAACUGUAGUAUGAAUGACUCUUUUUUGUUUUGUUUUUAACUUUUUUGCAGGGACUAUGUGCAUGUGUGUGGUACUAGAGGUAGUACUGGGGUGCUCUACCACUGAAUGACAUUCCCAAACUUUUUUUUUUUUUUUUUUAAAUGUUGAGAAACUGUUUCACUAAAUUGCCUGGGCUGGCCUGGAACAUGAUCCUACCUCAGCCUUCUGAGUAGCUUGGAUGACAAUCAUGCACUAUGCCAUCCUGCCCCAUUUUUACUGUUGUGCUGGUCUAUUGGGACCUCAUAUAGGAGCUUAGUUCAAAACAAUGGCCUCCAAUUUUUAUUUAACAAUUGUUUGGCAGAUGCAGUGAUGCAUGCUUGUAAUCCUAGUUACUCCGGAGACUGAGGCAGGAAGAACAUAAAUUGGAAGCCAGCAUUGGGCAAUGUAUGGAGACUCUGUCUCAAAACAAAAAGUAAAAAUGGGCUGGGAUUUUAGCUCAGUGAUACAGUGGCACUGGGUUCAAUCCACAGUAUUGUAAAAAAUAAAAACUGUCUUCACCAUAAAGCCUUCUAGAAUAAAACCUCCAGUUGGUUAACAUAUAUAUUCCCUAAGCAUCUAGAUAAUGUGCUAAAUAUACUUUAGUUGAAAUAUAUUUUAGUUGAAAAACUACUAAUUUAAGAAUGAAAUAUUUAACAGCAGGGUAAGACACUCGUUAUUCCAAAUUCAGAAUAUUAUACCACAUAAUAUAGUGAAUAAGCAUUUGAUAAGUGUAGUGUAAUUUGAAAGGAAGCUCCACAGGUAUUUCUUUUUUUUUUUUUUUUUGG
Non-coding RNA from Ictidomys tridecemlineatus (thirteen-lined ground squirrel), 1431 nucleotides. NCBI's taxonomy places the organism in Eukaryota, Metazoa, Chordata, Mammalia, Rodentia, Sciuridae. The record is from RefSeq and is a predicted model, not a curated record.